This 204-nucleotide long non-coding RNA is filed under the name Prunus persica (peach). RNAcentral describes it as "long non-coding RNA (PPER_LNC003612)". Lineage: Eukaryota; Viridiplantae; Streptophyta; Magnoliopsida; Rosales; Rosaceae. The record is from RNAcentral.
ACAGUAGCUAAAACUAAUAUCAAAACACAUUUAACUUCAUGAGCAGUUAUCACAUUCCCAUAAACCCUAGCAAAAAGCACUAUGAAAUUGAAUUAUGGAACCAGAAACUGCAUUGCAGUUUCUGGUCAAAAUCUUCUACAAACAACCAGAAAUCAAAAAGGCAAAAACAGUAGCUAAAACUAAUAUCAAAACACAUUUAAAUUC